This 552-nucleotide ribosomal RNA is filed under the name Salmonella enterica. RNAcentral's name for it is "partial 23S ribosomal RNA". It matches the Rfam family "Bacterial large subunit ribosomal RNA", at positions 993 to 1547 of the family's 2925-position model. Lineage: Bacteria; Pseudomonadati; Pseudomonadota; Gammaproteobacteria; Enterobacterales; Enterobacteriaceae. The record is from RNAcentral.
GGGUGCUAACGUCCGUCGUGAAGAGGGAAACAACCCAGACCGCCAGCUAAGGUCCCAAAGUCAUGGUUAAGUGGGAAACGAUGUGGGAAGGCCCAGACAGCCAGGAUGUUGGCUUAGAAGCAGCCAUCAUUUAAAGAAAGCGUAAUAGCUCACUGGUCGAGUCGGCCUGCGCGGAAGAUGUAACGGGGCUAAACCAUGCACCGAAGCUGCGGCAGCGACACUGAUGUGUUGUUGGGUAGGGGAGCGUUCUGUAAGCCGUUGAAGGUGGCCUGUGAGGGUUGCUGGAGGUAUCAGAAGUGCGAAUGCUGACAUAAGUAACGAUAAAGCGGGUGAAAAGCCCGCUCGCCGGAAGACCAAGGGUUCCUGUCCAACGUUAAUCGGGGCAGGGUGAGUCGACCCCUAAGGCGAGGCCGAAAGGCGUAGUCGAUGGGAAACGGGUUAAUAUUCCCGUACUUGGUGUUACUGCGAAGGGGGGACGGAGAAGGCUAUGUUGGCCGGGCGACGGUUGUCCCGGUUUAAGCGUGUAGGUGUGUGUUCCAGGUAAAUCCGGUU